GUUUUGACAGCAGUAGCAAACAAGGCUUCCGCAUGUUGUUUAUUUUCCAGUGUGUUUUGUACGAUUUAUUCUUGUAUAUAUACAAUACUAGAAGCAGCACUGAUUUUUAAUCACAGUCCUGAACACAGACUACGAAUUCAUUGUGAAUUUCUAUUUCUGAUUAGUAUUCUCAUUGUCGAUGCUGAGUGCAGUUUUAUCCUCUCGGAAGUGUUAACAAUGAAUUUUCUACGGUUGUUCUUGCUGUUGGUUGCGACAGCUUCGGCGCUGUUUGUCCAUAUCGAUGCCAAAGACAAUAAACAGCCGACCCAAGAGGAGAUUGCAGAGCGGUUGGGACUAGCUUCCAAAGUAGUUUUAAAACAGAAACAUUAAAUGCCAAAUGUAUCACUAUUCCUGUUACUAAGAUAUCGUCAUUAUUUUGAUGUUAUUGUCGUCAUUAUUUCGACUUUUCUGUACAAAAUCUCAGUUUCUGGAGUAAAGUUACUGGUUAGCGUUGGCAUAUUAAUGUGUUCUCCUGGAUUUCGUUGUUGCAGCAGUGGUACUUAAAGCGAAUGCACGGAUGUAAUGCAUUCAUCUGGAAAGGAUUUCCGCAUCUGUAAGAAAAAGACUACCAGAAAGAGAAAAACAAAAUUCU
Paramacrobiotus metropolitanus is the source of this 631-nucleotide long non-coding RNA. RefSeq lists it as uncharacterized. The record is from RefSeq and is a predicted model, not a curated record. The transcript is spliced from 3 exons. Lineage: Eukaryota; Metazoa; Tardigrada; Eutardigrada; Parachela; Macrobiotidae.